AAAACAGCCCACCUUUUUCUCGGACCUAAGGGGCAGAUUUUAUACUUAUGUCCAUUGAAUAUACAGUAUUAUUUGUACUUUAUGUAAGUAAUUUAACUGUGAAAUGUAAGAAACGACAGCAUCAUUGGUUAAGAUACUGCACUUAGGCGCAAUUAAGCUCCACCACCAGUUUGAGCAUGAUCUCUACGAGAGAUGAACUGUACAUGAUGGAUGAUUCCCUAGUUUAAAUGGUCGGUGUAUUUUAGUAACAUAAUCUAGUUAAUACGACCCAAUGGCACCCCAGACGAGUCUAGUGAGCAGCUCGCCCUCGAAGGGUCACCGACUAAACCGUAAAGACAUCCCAAGACAUGUUCAACCAUAGUUCUUUUAUUGCACAUCUAAAUCAUGACACCUCUCAGAUCUGAAUUUAUGCAGUGCUAAGCUUUCCUUGUUUUCCCUUGAAAAAAGAGAUUCCUUGAACUCCCAGCUGUCGAUUGAUCGAUGUACAAGGGCAUAUAUUAACUGAGAAUUUCUAAGACGGCAUGCAACCAAAACCGCUGGCUCUUCACAAACGGGUUUCGCACUUCGCAACUGAGAUGUCAGAUCCUCAAAAACUAUAAAAUUGUUGUACGAUUCAGAAGAGCUGCAGUGGAAGAUUUUAUACUUGCAGGAUUACACUUGUGUGCUGUGUGAAAAUUUACAGUUAAGAGAGCAGGGAACAUCUCUUCCUCUGAUGACCAUUUGCUGCAAGUUGCUGGUAGUAAAUUUCCAUGCACUCGAUCUAUCCAGGGAAGGCAUCAGUUCAGGCUUGCCUUCCAGUCCUUCAGAGAGCAGCUGGGCCUGGGCUGCGCAAACCUUUUUUGUUUCUUCAUUGAGGUGGCCGGCUAUUCUGAUCAGUAAGUUUGAAAUUUCUGGAAGUUAUAAUUUCCUUAAAGUCUGAAUUACCCAAAGUUUUGAAAUUUCCAACGUCCUGAAAUCUUGAAAAGUUGGAGCUUAUGCACAAAUUCAGAUCCUACAGAAUCCCACUUGUCUUCACAUCACAUGAGUUGGAGAGAGAGAAAAAAAUAUCAUAUUGUCUAUCAACAACUGCUAUACUUCGUUGGCUCAAGGUUCCAAAUCCAGAAGCAUCUAUUCUUUUUGGAAUUUCGGUAGUGUAUUUUCCUUCAACUUCUCCAGUGUACACCUUGGAGAGAUCAAGCAAAAUCAGCAGCCGUUCCCAUCAGCUAUCACACUUGACUACACUGUAAUUUCGGCCUCCGCUGUACGAGCGAAACUUGAUUUGUAGCGAGGUUUCGUCACCCUGCAAAACAUACAGCAAGAAUCUUAGGCAAGCCCUUCCACUUCCACUUCAAAGAUCAUUCUCCAUCACGUAAUCGUCUACUUGGGUACUACACCUCUGCCGAAGAGCUAUGCUAUGCUUAAAGUUCAUCAACGUUUACUAACCUUGUUAUGUCGUAUGUUCCAGCAGACUAUCCCAGCGGCUUUUGAGGAUCUCGUAAGCGUCUGGACAAGGAAGGGCUAUUACAGAGGAGGAGCUGCCGUUAGUUGACAGCUCGACCACCAGACCCAACCGCAACAGUGUCUCCAUAGCUUUGUCAAUAGGCAUUUCAAUCUACAAGGAAAAUUAGAAAUUCACUUGACAAUUUCAUGAUAACCGGAAAAGACAGACAGAGAUACGGAAGGUGUCACCUUUGCAUUAAAUUUCUCAUACAUAAAUUGCUCGCACAUAUCUCUGAUGCUUGCGCGAGAUGACACCUGCACAGCUGGAAUCAGGCCAAGGAUUCUGUAAAUUAAAUGUGACAAGUCUCGAGUACUAAAAGCAGCAACACAUACCUGAUACUUAUUUCUCCCGAGUAACAUAGCAUAUGCCAAGAGUGCUUCCUUAUACUAUACAGAAAGAGACAGUGAAGAAGUUACCUUACUCAACUGAGUGAAAUGCACAAAAAUUUAUGGUUUUGACUGUGCACUGAAUGUGCUACCUGUUGUUGCUCGGAAGCAUCUAGAAGAAAGUAAACUGAACCAAAGCCACUUGCUAAUGUCUUCUCGUAGAGCGUCUUAUUGACAAGAAGCUGGAGAAGAGGUAUUGAUGUCAAAUAAACUACCGUUUGCAAAUUGAACCAUAUAAUUUUUCGUUAUUAUCAAAAUAUAGAGCAACAUAAAUGAUCCACCUGAUAUCUAUCCCUGGUCUGUUUGUAGCCCAAUGUCACACGGAACACGAGUAUUGCAAGUGCAGUAAAAGCAGCUAGGUCAAGAAGGAAAGCUGAUCUACAUUACAUACCAUGAAAGAAAUGGAAACAAUGUCACUUGUUUUCCGAAAAUAAGGACUGAUAAGGUAGAAGCCUGGAGGGGGUUGCUAUCUGGCGUCAUGGUGACGUCGAUGGCAGAGUGGCCUGAUAAGGUAGAAGCCUCAAUAUCUGCUCUGAAGACGGACCAGUGGAAGAUGGCGGCGACGACACAUGUGAGUGCGUCAGACCAGUUCAUGCCCCAAACCCAGUAUGUGGCUCGGCUGGGGCUUCUGACUUUUGAUGAUAGGCUUAGGUGAGUGGACUGGGUAUUUGGCCAAGCUAGCGCCCCUUCAUCAUAUGGAUAGGAGUAGUGGCAUAUGAUGCCAAGAUGGCGGAUUCAGGCCUAUUGUUGUAAUACUUUGUAAGGUCCUCGAGAAUAAUCAAUAAAGUGGCCGCAUGCAUCUCCCAGAUGCGGAGGCCGGGGGCCAUCCUCCUUUUCUUAAAAAAAAGUGUAGAUGUAAGUGCGUUGUGUACACCUGCAGCAAAUUAAUCUAGCUUUUAGUUUCGGUCAGGUAUUUUGGUUACGCCAGCAAAUCAAAGUGUUGGAAUAAUCUACCUACAGCAUUGCCGUGUGAGAGAUGCAAUGCAGCCAUCCACAGAGUGGUAUGCACAUUGCUCCAACAGGAAUGACUUGACCGCUAGCUGGAGCUGGCCGUAACUCUCUCAUGCAUGCAUACUCUCCGUCAGGCACGCAUGGAAGCUUCUGCAGACUCUCAUGGUCUAGACUUGCAUGGCCAAGGUUGAUCAAUUAUUCUAUUCUUUGACAUGUAGGAGUAUUCCGUUAACAUAUGGACAAAGGUGGCGUGGUUGUGUUCAUGACUUCACCGUCGUUGUGCGCGAAAAACAUCAUGGCGCUGUUCAUGAACACACUUACGUAAUUUUAGACACUCCAUUAUAUCUGAGUAAUAAAGUAGCUAGAGUACUUAGUAAAAUUAUCAACUGGUAAGCCUAUCUAUGAAAUCAAUAAACUAUGAGCAACAUAUACUGUGAGAUGAUUUUAACACAUUACUGCUUCCUGCCUAUGUAAGUACCCCCUCCGGUCUUUUUUAAUUCGCAUAUAAAAUUUCUCUGAAGUCAAAUCUCGUAAAGUUUGACCAACUUUAUAGGAAAAAAAUACAAACAUUCACAAUGUGAAAUCAUUAUCACUAGAUGUGCCGUGACUUAAAUUUCCAUAUUGUAUAAAUUUAGCAUUGUAGGUGUUGAUAUUUUUUCAGAUAAAUAUAGUCAAAAUUUAUGAAGUUUGACUUCAGACAAUUCUAAUAUGCAGAGUAAAAAGGACCGGAGGGAGUACAUUAGUAUUAGUGCGGUGAAGAAAUGAAAAAAAUGGGGUUACUUCUCCACCGCAUAGGUUGUGCUUCUCCGGGAGCAGAAAAUUGGGAAGGCUUACGUAUAUCUUUUACAGUCAUUAUUUUAGCCUUGAAUGAUUCAUAGUCUCGUUCAACCGCUUCAUACGCUUGACCGAGGAUCGGCUUUUAAAAAUUAGUACUCCCUCUGUGAAGAAAUAUAAGACCUUUUAGGUCACUAAUGUAAUGAUCUGAAAGGUCUUAUAUUUGUUUAGAGGGAGUAUAUGAGAGAGAGGGAGUAUUAUCUUAGUCUUGGAUGCUUCAAAAUCCUUAGUACAAUUUCUAGUUCUUCGCUCUCUUUUUAACCAAAAAGAGCGACAGCACUCGUUCUACUGUCUGGUUUGGUCUACGUAUACAUCGAAUGUUUGGAAGCUAGUACAACAUUAUUGUGCCGUGUCAGACAUGCAACGGAGCCAUCCACAAAUCAGUAUUCACAUGCCUCCAACACGAAUGACCUGACCCAUAGCCUCCGACACGGAUCACUUUGACCGACCCCUUAGCACGGCUUCUUUGACAAGUAUUCCACUAACAUAUCGACAGAUGUGUGCUCAACUAUUUAAUGUGCUGCCAUCACCUCUCAGAAAUAAGAACCACAGCCAAUUCCAUCUAGCCUAGCUAGCUAGACAUGGAGAUGGACCCACCACCCAAAAUGCUUGCCUCUCUCACCAUGACCAUACUGAUGAUGAUGAUGGCCACCUCCACCGCACUUGCGUCGGAUGCAGCGGUGCUCGAAGGACAAGCAAGAGCACUUCUCGUCUGGAAAGACGGCCUCGACAACCAAAGCCAGCAAGCCCUGCACUCCUGGGGAAACACGUCGACGCCUUGCAACUGGCGCGGCAUCAAUUGCGAUAUCGGUGUGCAGCGACACCAACAUUGGCCGGUGAUCAGCGGCAUCUCUCUACGGGGUAUGCGGCUGAGCGGAGCUCUGGAGUCCCUCAACUUCUCAGCCUUGAGGACCUUGGCAUGCCUCGACCUCUCAAACAACCUCCUCACUGGGAGCAUUCCUCCUAGUAUCGAGGUCCUUGGCGAGCUCCAUGCUCUCCUUCUGCAAGGCAACCAGAUAAGAGGCUCAAUCCCACUAGGUCUAGGAAAUCUCACAAAAUUGCAUUCCUUAAUACUUCACGAAAAUGAACUCUACGGUGAAAUACCAAGCCAGAUAGGCAACAUGAGUAGUCUUGUCACCCUCAACUUGUCAAGCAAUCAUUUGGUUGGUCAUAUCCCUUGUGAAAUAGGACACAUCAAGCACUUAGUUGCAUUAGAUUUGUCCAAUAAUAAUCUUUUUGGCAAAAUACCAAGCAGCAUAGGUGGUUUGACCGAACUCACUAGCUUGUACCUUUACGAACAAACUUUCUGGACAAAUUCCACGAGAACUAGGUUAUCUUCUGAACUUAAAGGACCUACAACUUGGCAUCAACACCCUCUCAGGUUCCAUUCCACGAAAUUUUCAUAAUUUGACCAAGCUCACUGUGUUAAUUCUACAGCUAAACAAACUUUCUGGGUUAAUUCCACAAAAAAUAGAUUACCUUUCGAACUUACAGUACCUGAGUCUUAGUGAAAACAUACUCUCGGGUUCCAUCCCAAAUAGUAUAAGAAAUUUGACGAAACUUACAACCUUGUCCCUUGGGAACAACCAACUUUCUGGGUUAAUUCCACAAGAGUUAGAUUACUUUGCGAACUUAGAGUACCUGGAUCUUAGUGAAAACAUAUUCUCGGGUUCCAUCCCAAAUAGCAUAGGAAAUUUGACAAAACUCACUAUCUUAUAUCUUUACAUGAACCAAAUUUCUGGACACAUCCCUCGAGAACUAGGUCGCCUUGUGAACUUAGAGGAUUUGGAUCUUCGCGCUAACACCCUAACCGGUUCCAUCCCAAAUAGCAUAGGAAAUUUGGCAAAACUCACUAUUUUAUAUCUUGACAUGAACCAAAUUUCUGGACACAUCCCUCGAGAACUAGGCCGCCUUGUGAGCUUAGAGGAUUUGGAUCUUAGCGCUAACACCCUAACAGGUUCCAUCCCAAAUAACAUAGGAAAUUUGACCAAAAUCACAGCCUUGUACCUUCCCAGCAACCAACUUUCUGGAUACAUCCCUCGAGAACUAGGUUACCUUGAGAACUUAGUGGAGUUGAUGCUUUACAACAACACACUAACAGGUUCCAUCCCAAGUAGCAUAGGAAAUUUGACCGAACUCACAAGUUUGUACCUUGAUAAUAACCAACUAUCGGGGCACAUCCCUCGAGAACUACAUUAUUUAGUCAACUUAGACCACUUGGAGCUUAGCUAUAACACACUGACAGGUUCCAUCUCAAAAAACCUAGGCAAUCUCACAAAACUCAAUUACUUGUUACUUGACAAUAAUAAACUUUCCGGCCACAUUCCCCGAGAAUUAGGUUAUUUGGUCAACUUAGAGUCCUUGUCUCUUAGAAAUAAUUCACUAACUGGUCCCAUCCCAAAUAGCCUUGGCAAUCUGACAAAACUGUAUAAAUUGGACUUUGGCCAGAACCAACUUUCCCGGCAAAUUUCAUGAGAAUAGGUUGGUUGUUGAAUUUGGAGUACCUAGAGCUUACCAACAACACACUUAACAUAGACUUUCUUGUAGUAGAAUUAUCUUUAUGGAAAAUUUGACAAGAAGUAGAAGGUGCACCAUCCUCAUCGACCCCUGCUGCUGCUCCUCUCCCGCACGGGGCCAAACCCCUGCGCCAGCUCCGCUGCCGUGGCACAAGCACCUCCUCACGGUGGCCCACUCCAACUGCUNNNNNNNNNNNNNNNNNNNNNNNNNNNNNNNNNNNNNNNNNNNNNNNNNNNNNNNNNNNNNNNNNNNNNNNNNNNNNNNNNNNNNNNNNNNNNNNNNNNNNNNNNNNNNNNNNNNNNNNNNNNNNNNNNNNNNNNNNNNNNNNNNNNNNNNNNNNNNNNNNNNNNNNNNNNNNNNNNNNNNNNNNNNNNNNNNNNNNNNNNNNNNNNNNNNNNNNNNNNNNNNNNNNNNNNNNNNNNNNNNNNNNNNACGCCCUCGCCGCUGGGUCACUCAACAUCAGCGCGCUCACCAGCGACUAGGCCACCGUCGCUGCAGCGUCCGCGCUGGUGGCCCUCGCCCUCGCCGCCUUCUUCGACUGCUGCACGACCCAUCUCGCCUGUGCCACCGAUGUCGUUGACCUGCUCUCAUGCGAGGACGCGCGCCUGGGCUCCCCGCAGCGCCCGUCGCGUCCAAGGACAGGGCCGACGUCGCCACCAACCUCAGGAGUGAGGAGGCUCCUACUAGGGUCCUCCAACUGCGCGGCCACCGGCGUCCCUACAGCGGUCUUGUUCUCCAAGGUGCCCGCCGUGCACGGGGCCUUCCGGGAUUCGGCGUGGGCCCUCCACGCCUGGGUGCGCGGCGAGCUCAAUGGUCCGGUAGACCGGUACUGAAGCUCGGGAACCAAGGAGGAGACUUUGAUACUGAUGACACUGGUGCAACCUCAGCACUGCUCCCUGCACUUGUCCUACAGAGACUACAGGGUAAAGUGAAGAAAGCUACGGAGAGCAGUGA
Molecule: long non-coding RNA, 7122 nt
Filed under: Triticum aestivum (bread wheat)
Lineage: Eukaryota; Viridiplantae; Streptophyta; Magnoliopsida; Poales; Poaceae
Description: long non-coding RNA (TAES_LNC002595)
Source: RNAcentral